This 911-nucleotide long non-coding RNA is filed under the name Brassica rapa (field mustard). Its description in RNAcentral is "long non-coding RNA (BRAP_LNC006994)". Lineage: Eukaryota; Viridiplantae; Streptophyta; Magnoliopsida; Brassicales; Brassicaceae. The record is from RNAcentral.
UCAUGUUAGGAUAGUUCAGUUUAUAACUAGUAUUUUAAUUUCUAUUAAUAUUAAAAAUAAAUAUAAUAAGUAUUUUUAAGUAUACAAAAUAUAUUUUGGAUAUUCGGUCUCGAUUCGAUUCUGGUUUAAUUUUUUAGUUUGGUUCCAAUUUAGUUUUUCGGUUUUCAAUUUAUAUGCACGGGCCUUACUGAACCUUUGGGGAAUGAUGUAGACGAGCCCUGAAUUCCAAAAGUUUUUUUGCUAUGAAUGUUAAAUUAUAUACCAUUUUAAAUUUUAGACAUAGAUUAUAAAUACAACAAGUAGGAGACAAAGAAAAACAACUAAACAAUACCAAAAUACAAAAGAAAAACACAGUGAAAUGCAGAAAUACGACAACUAAUACAAAUCCUGAAUAACAAAACAAUGCACAUUGUCUAGGAUCGCCAUGAACCAACAGCAGGAGUCUCAUUGUUGUGGUUGCUAAGUUACCGCGAGUUAACAGAGAAUUGGCCAGCCCUUAUAACCACUCCGCUUCGUAUCGAACACGCCUUUGAUAACCUGCUAAAUUAGCACACACAACUACCAUAUCCUACGACGUCUCAAACAGAUGCAUUCGGAGUGAACGUCCCAGCCCGGUCGAAACCGGAGGUCCGGAUAAAGGUGAAGUUGUAUGCCUCUACCCCACCGAUUUAGCCAAAACCUUUGCCGCACAGUUAGCUAAUCUGCUACCACAUGAAACAUUCACUCAUCUGUCGAGUACCACCGCAAAAAAAAAAAACAGAGCUGCUGCUCACACUAAACGCAGAUUGACUGAAAUCCAAAAGUUGGAACAUGCAAAGCAACAAAAGAAAAAAAUGCCUAACAGAAGACAAACAUCCAUAGAGCCCUUGGGUGGAUGGAUGCGUCCGCUGUGGCGGAAGAGUGACCAAGCC